GCGAUUCGACAUGAUCUGAUUUUGUUUAAUGUCUUGUUUUUUUUAUUUGUGUUAAUUUUUAUUUAUUGAAGAAUCAUUUUGGUUUUUGUAUGUAUUAAGAUAAAAUUAUUUUUACGAUAGUUUAUUUGUACUGUGAGGGGUUUAAAUCAAUUAAUUUAUAAUGCUUUUUAAAGUUAAUUUUAUUUGUUGUACCUUGUGUAUCAGGGUUUAUUGAAUUAUAUUAUUUAUUUUUAUUUCCCGAUUUUAAAGUAGUUAAUAAUUUAUUUUAGUUACUGUUUUAUUAGUAUUAAUAAUAGGUUAUUGGUAGUGAAAUUCUAUUCGUCUUUAGUGGUUUCUGGUUUUUCAAGAAAUGAAUUUAAUUCAUAUAUCAUGUUUAAUUUAUAUAAUUUUUAUAUUUAUUUUUAUUUGAUAUUAAGAUAAAGGGGGAUUAGCUCCUUUUUUUAUUUUUAUAAUUUUAUAGGUGAUGUAGUUUUGUGGAUUUUAUAGUGAUUUUCAAUUGGAUUAUGUUAAAAUUUUAUUUGGUUUAUUUUAUAUUUUUUAAAAUUUAAUUUGUUUAUUGGAAUGUUUUUUAUAUUUUUAUAUAAUUAGUAAUUAUUGUAUAAUUAGUAAAUUUAUUUAUGUAUUUUGUGUUUUUGGUGUUAAUUUCUUUUUAGGAAUUCGGCAAAUAUUGUGUCCGCCUGUUUAACAAAAACAUCUUUUCUUGUUAGUUUUUGAAGUAUAGCCUGCCCACUGACUAUGAGUUGAAGGGCCGCGGUAUUUUGACCGUGCAAAGGUAGCAUAAUCAUUAGUUCUUUAAUUGUGAUCUGGUAUGAAUGGCUUGACGAGACAUAAGCUGUCUUAGAAGUAUUGUUUAAUUGAAUUUAGUGUUUGAGUUAAAAUACUUAAAUGUUUUUGUGGGACGAGAAGACCCUAUAGAGUUUAACAUUGUUUUAUUUUACUGUUGUUUGUAUUAUUUGUUUUAAUUAGGUAAUGUUUUGUUGGGGUGAUGAGAGAAAUAAUUUAACUUCUCUUUAUUUUUUUAUAUUUAUUUAUAUGUUAUUGAUCCAUUUAUUUUGAUUAUAAGAUUAAAUUACCUUAGGGAUAACAGCGUUAUCUCCCUUGAGAGUUCUUAUUGGCAGGGGGGUUUGCGACCUCGAUGUUGGAUUAAGAUGAAUUUUCGGUGCAGAAGCUGAAUUUAAUUAGGUCUGUUCGACCUUUAAAAUCUUACAUGAUCUGAGUUCAGACCGGCGUGAGCCAGGUUGGUUUCUAUCUACUUAUUUUUAGUUAUAUCUUAGUACGAGAGGACCGGAUAUUUGAAAUAAUUUUAGUUAAGUGAUUAUUAUUAAUUUUACUAUUUUGGCAGAUAAGUGCAUUGGAUUUAGAAUCUAUUAA
RNAcentral lists this ribosomal RNA (1371 nucleotides) under Orientotermes emersoni. Its description in RNAcentral is "16S ribosomal RNA". The stretch from base 894 to 1253 matches the Rfam family "Archaeal large subunit ribosomal RNA", at positions 2152 to 2714 of the family's 2987-position model. Lineage: Eukaryota; Metazoa; Arthropoda; Insecta; Blattodea; Termitidae. The record is from RNAcentral.